RNAcentral lists this non-coding RNA (107 nucleotides) under bovine gut metagenome. RNAcentral describes it as "FMN riboswitch (RFN element)". It matches the Rfam family "FMN riboswitch aptamer (RFN element)". Rfam says of the family: The RFN element is a highly conserved domain that is found frequently in the 5'-untranslated regions of prokaryotic mRNAs that encode for flavin mononucleotide (FMN) biosynthesis and transport proteins. This element is a metabolite-dependent riboswitch that directly binds FMN in the absence of proteins. RNAcentral also lists the same sequence under 1 other name. The record is from RNAcentral.
GUCUUCGAGGCAGGGAGCAUUUCCCGACCGGCGGUAAAGUCCGCAAGCAUUUCGCACGAACCGGUGGAAUUCCGGUACCGACAGUACAGUCUGGAUGAGAGAGGAUG